AAUGAACGCUGGCGGCGCGCCUAAUACAUGCAAGUCGAGCGAGAAGACGUAGCAAUACGUUUGUAAAGCGGCGAACGGGUGAGGAAUACAUGGGUAACCUACCCUCGAGUGGGGAAUAACUAGCCGAAAGGUUAGCUAAUACCGCGUACGCUCCUUGGACUUCGGUUCAGGGAGGAAAGCGAUACCGUGGGUAUCGCGCUCUUGGUUGGGCUCAUGUCCUAUCAGCUUGUUGGUGAGGUAACGGCUCACCAAGGCUUCGACGGGUAGCUGGUCUGAGAGGACGAUCAGCCACACUGGCACUGCGACACGGGCCAGACUCCUACGGGAGGCAGCAGUAAGGAAUAUUGCGCAAUGGGCGAAAGCCUGACGCAG
Molecule: ribosomal RNA, 372 nt
Filed under: uncultured bacterium
Lineage: Bacteria
Description: bacterial SSU rRNA
Rfam family: Bacterial small subunit ribosomal RNA
Source: RNAcentral